This is a long non-coding RNA of Passer domesticus (house sparrow), 1067 nucleotides long. RefSeq lists it as uncharacterized. The record is from RefSeq and is a predicted model, not a curated record. NCBI's taxonomy places the organism in Eukaryota, Metazoa, Chordata, Aves, Passeriformes, Passeridae. The transcript has 3 exons.
AGCAGCUGCUGAGGGAGCUGAGGGAGUUGUGGGAAGAGUGGUGGGAGCAGCAGGAUGUGCCAGCACAGGAACGUAGCACUGACCCCUCUGCAAGCCACUGCACGCCAAGGUUUUAGCAAGGAGGAUUAGCUCCCAUUAGUGCCAGGUCCCACAAGUGUGCCCUUGUGCCACUGUGUGCCUUGGAAGCUGGGAAAUGACUGGAGGCACACACACGAGAGCAUCUGUGGUGUUGCUGCGAUUGUCUGAGGAUACAGAGGGAAGCACAGACUGCAGGGAGGGACAAGAUCUUUUAUGACACCCACUGUCGCAGACGGAACAAGUGAUUGUGUCCCCAUCACAACCAGAUGUGAGCCCUCUUUUGGGAAAAUGGUUUAGACCUCCACAUCCUUGAGCAGUUUAAUUCUACAGUGGAGAGAAGCUCGACAGCAAAACUGCCAGAGCAAGGAGAAUAUGUGUGCAGUUGAGCCAAUGAUAGAUCCUGUGGGAAUCUGCUUCCAGCCUCAGGGAAGCCCUUCCAGACCACAGCCUGCCAAGGCUGCUGGAACAGACCUCCCUCCCUGAUGCUCCCUGAUCCACGUCACCACAAGGAGAUGCCCACAGGCCUCGCUCCAUUGCCUCCUCCCCAAAGGAGUCAUCCAGAGUGCCAGCAAGAGGAAAGAAAAAAGACAAUCACCUAUUCACUUUUUGCCCGUGCCCGGCUAACUGUAGAAUCAGAGCAGAUCUCAUCUUGCUUAAAAUGAAGCCCAGAUGUAGUCCUUGGAAGGCUGGGGAAUAGCUUUUGAUCCAGAAGGCAUGUAACAUCACCCACAGCAAAUUGAGGACCUGCUUGUUACCUUCCAACCUGGCUUAGCUACAUGUUUAAAAUAAGGGAAAUGAUCCUCAAUCCAGGUAUAGAUGUCCUUCAGCGUCAUGCGCUUCUUCUCCGUGCUGUUGAUGGCAAACUGGAUCAUGGCCAUGUAGGAGUAAGGAGGUCGUUCUGACACCGAAUCCUGCCAUGAGGAGGACUCAGCAGCAGUAGGAAUAGCAGCAGCAGCUUCCUCUUCAGUCUGAAAGACAGAAAGAGUGAU